UCUCGCGUCAGGAUUAGCCCAGGUGGGAUUAGCUAGUUGGUGGGGUAACGGCUCACCAAGGCGACGAUCCCUAGCUGGUCUGAGAGGAUGAUCAGCCACACUGGAACUGAGACACGGUCCAGACUCCUACGGGAGGCAGCAGUGGGGAAUAUUGCACAAUGGGGGAAACCCUGAUGCAGCCAUGCCGCGUGUAUGAAGAAGGCCUUCGGGUUGUAAAGUACUUUCAGCAGUGAGGAAGGGGUGUACGUUAAUAGCGUAUAUCUUUGACGUUAGCUGCAGAAGAAGCACCGGCUAACUCCGUG
RNAcentral lists this ribosomal RNA (302 nucleotides) under uncultured bacterium. Its description in RNAcentral is "bacterial SSU rRNA". It matches the Rfam family "Bacterial small subunit ribosomal RNA", at positions 213 to 507 of the family's 1533-position model. The record is from RNAcentral.